Molecule: long non-coding RNA, 167 nt
Organism: Perognathus longimembris pacificus (Pacific pocket mouse)
Lineage: Eukaryota; Metazoa; Chordata; Mammalia; Rodentia; Heteromyidae
Exons: 3
Source: RefSeq, a predicted model, not a curated record
GGUGAGCACUCUUGCCACUAGGCCAUAUCUCCAGCCCCAGUUCAUGAGUAUUAUGUCAGACAUAUUAGCAGUAACAUAAUUUUUUAAAUUAUUUAAAUUAAAAUUUUCUUUAACUUUUUAAUGUAGCAAAUGUAUAUGAAAUUUAUCCUUUCAGUCAUUUCAAAGUA